ACGGCCAUAUCACGUUGAAAAACCGAUUCUAAUACGAUCACCGAAGUUAAGCAACACUGAGUCUGAUCAGUAACUAGAUGGGUGAGUGCUUGAGAAUAACAGAUGCUGUAAG
Acanthosepion pharaonis is the source of this 112-nucleotide non-coding RNA. NCBI's taxonomy places the organism in Eukaryota, Metazoa, Mollusca, Cephalopoda, Sepiida, Sepiidae. The record is from the annotation of a GenBank genome assembly.